GGCCCGUUGGUCAAGUGGUUAAGACACCGCCCUUUCACGGCGGUAACAUGGGUUCGAAUCCUGUACGGGUCACCA
This 75-nucleotide transfer RNA is filed under the name Bacillus sp. TH44. Its description in RNAcentral is "tRNA-Glu". It matches the Rfam family "tRNA". Rfam says of the family: Transfer RNA (tRNA) molecules are approximately 80 nucleotides in length. Their secondary structure includes four short double-helical elements and three loops (D, anti-codon, and T loops). Lineage: Bacteria; Bacillati; Bacillota; Bacilli; Caryophanales; Bacillaceae. The record is from RNAcentral.